GAUGAACGCUGGCGGCGUGCCUAAUACAUGCAAGUCGAGCGAACAGAUAAGGAGCUUGCUCCUUUGACGUUAGCGGCGGACGGGUGAGUAACACGUGGGUAACCUACCUAUAAGACUGGAAUAACUCCGGGAAACCGGGGCUAAUGCCGGAUAACAUUUAGAACCGCAUGGUUCUAAAGUGAAAGAUGGUUUUGCUAUCACUUAUAGAUGGACCCGCGCCGUAUUAGCUAGUUGGUAAGGUAACGGCUUACCAAGGCAACGAUACGUAGCCGACCUGAGAGGGUGAUCGGCCACACUGGAACUGAGACCCGGUCCAGACUCCUACGGGAGGCAGCAGUAGGGAAUCUUCCGCAAUGGGCGAAAGCCUGACGGAGCAACGCCGCGUGAGUGAUGAAGGUCUUCGGAUCGUAAAACUCUGUUAUUAGGGAAGAACAAAUGUGUAAGUAACUGUGCACGUCUUGACGGUACCUAAUCAGAAAGCCACGGCUAACUACGUG
RNAcentral lists this ribosomal RNA (497 nucleotides) under uncultured bacterium. RNAcentral's name for it is "partial 16S ribosomal RNA". It matches the Rfam family "Bacterial small subunit ribosomal RNA", at positions 28 to 507 of the family's 1533-position model. The record is from RNAcentral.